Molecule: ribosomal RNA, 254 nt
Filed under: uncultured bacterium
Lineage: Bacteria
Description: partial 16S ribosomal RNA
Rfam family: Bacterial small subunit ribosomal RNA
Source: RNAcentral
UACAGAGGUCUCAAGCGUUGUUCGGAUUCAUUGGGCGUAAAGGGUGCGUAGGCGGCGCGGUAAGUCGGGUGUGAAAACCCGCGGCUCAACCGUGUGGUCUGCAGUCGAUACGGGCAGGCUAGAGUUCGGUAGGGGAGACUGGAAUUCCUGGUGUAGCGGUGAAAUGCGCAGAUAUCAGGAGGAACACCGGUGGCGAAGGCGGGUCUCUGGGCCGAUACUGACGCUGAGGAGCGAAAGCGUGGGGAGCGAACAGG